GAUGAACGCUGGCGGCGUGCCUAAUACAUGCAAGUCGAGCGAACGGACGAGAAGCUUGCUUCUCUGAUGUUAGCGGCGGACGGGUGAGUAACACGUGGAUAACCUACCUAUAAGACUGGGAUAACUUCGGGAAACCGGAGCUAAUACCGGAUAAUAUUUUGAACCGCAUGGUUCAAAAGUGAAAGACGGUCUUGCUGUCACUUAUAGAUGGAUCCGCGCUGCAUUAGCUAGUUGGUAAGGUAACGGCUUACCAAGGCAACGAUGCAUAGCCGACCUGAGAGGGUGAGCGGCCACACUGGAACUGAGACACGGUCCAGACUCCUACGGGAGGCAGCAGUAGGGAAUCUUCCGCAAUGGGCGAAAGCCUGACGGAGCAACGCCGCGUGAGUGAUGAAGGUCUUCGGAUCGUAAAACUCUGUUAUUAGGGAAGAACAUAUGUGUAAGUAACUGUGCACAUCUUGACGGUACCUAAUCAGAAAGCCCCGGCUAACUACGUG
Molecule: ribosomal RNA, 497 nt
Filed under: uncultured bacterium
Lineage: Bacteria
Description: partial 16S ribosomal RNA
Rfam family: Bacterial small subunit ribosomal RNA
Source: RNAcentral